Molecule: transfer RNA, 74 nt
Filed under: Coscinodiscus granii
Lineage: Eukaryota; Bacillariophyta; Coscinodiscophyceae; Coscinodiscales; Coscinodiscaceae
Description: tRNA-Lys
Rfam family: tRNA
About the family: Transfer RNA (tRNA) molecules are approximately 80 nucleotides in length. Their secondary structure includes four short double-helical elements and three loops (D, anti-codon, and T loops).
Source: RNAcentral
AAGUGUAUAGCUUAGUCAGGUAGAGCAAUAGACUUUUAAUCUAAAGGACUUGGGUUCAAUUCCCAAUACACUUA